UGGCGACCGGCGCACGGGUGAGUAACACGUAUCCAACCUGCCGAUGACUCGGGGAUAGCCUUUCGAAAGAAAGAUUAAUACCCGAUGGCAUAGUUCUUCCGCAUGGUGGAACUAUUAAAGAAUUUCGGUCAUCGAUGGGGAUGCGUUCCAUUAGGUUGUUGGNGGGGUAACGGCCCACCAAGCCUUCGAUGGAUAGGGGUUCUGAGAGGAAGGUCCCCCACAUUGGAACUGAGACACGGUCCAAACUCCUACGGGAGGCAGCAUG
Molecule: ribosomal RNA, 265 nt
Filed under: uncultured bacterium
Lineage: Bacteria
Description: partial 16S ribosomal RNA
Rfam family: Bacterial small subunit ribosomal RNA
Source: RNAcentral